Molecule: long non-coding RNA, 470 nt
Organism: Sinocyclocheilus grahami
Lineage: Eukaryota; Metazoa; Chordata; Actinopteri; Cypriniformes; Cyprinidae
Exons: 3
Source: RefSeq, a predicted model, not a curated record
AAGUGGGCGGGCACUGAUGCACUUAAUUUAUAAUGAAUAAUCUGUAUGAAUAUGGACGUUUGUGAGAUGUGCGCCAUCUUGUUUUCAGACGCCGCAGUGUUGUAGUGGUUUCUAUGGGCCGGACUGUAAACCGUGCAUUGGGGGUUUCCAGCACCCAUGUUAUGAUAAAGGGACUUGUUUUGAUGGCAUCAAUGGGAAUGGCUCCUGUAAGUGUGAACCAGCGUUUACAGGUGUAGGCUGCCACCUCUGCUCAGACCCCAACAAACAUGGAGAGAACUGUGACGAAGAUUGCCGCUGUGUCCAUGGUGUAUGUGAGAACAGGCCUGGCGGUAUGGGGGUGUGUAGAAGAGGAUCCUGUCGGGAAGGGUUUUCAGGGAAGCUUUGUGACCAGACAGCCACCCCCUGCAAUUCAGACGCCGUCCUCGAGCACUGCCACAUUCACGCCAAAUGUGUCUACAACAACGAUCAAA